RNAcentral lists this ribosomal RNA (906 nucleotides) under uncultured bacterium. RNAcentral's name for it is "bacterial SSU rRNA". It matches the Rfam family "Bacterial small subunit ribosomal RNA", at positions 52 to 951 of the family's 1533-position model. The record is from RNAcentral.
CACAUGCAAGUCGAGGGGCAGCAUCAUUAAAGCUUGCUUUGAUGGAUGGCGACCGGCGCACGGGUGAGUAACACGUAUCCAACCUGCCGACAACACUGGGAUAGCCUUUCGAAAGAAAGAUUAAUACCGGAUGGCAUAGUUUUCCCGCAUGGGAUAAUUAUUAAAGAAUUUCGGUUGUCGAUGGGGAUGCGUUCCAUUAGGCAGUUGGCGGGGUAACGGCCCACCAAACCAACGAUGGAUAGGGGUUCUGAGAGGAAGGUCCCCCACAUUGGAACUGAGACACGGUCCAAACUCCUACGGGAGGCAGCAGUGAGGAAUAUUGGUCAAUGGACGAGAGUCUGAACCAGCCAAGUAGCGUGAAGGAUGACUGCCCCAUGGGUUGUAAACUUCUUUUAUACGGGAAUAAAGUGAGCCACGUGUGGCUUUUUGUAUGUACCGUAUGAAUAAGGAUCGGCUAACUCCGUGCCAGCAGCCGCGGUAAUACGGAGGAUCCGAGCGUUAUCCGGAUUUAUUGGGUUUAAAGGGAGCGUAGGCGGGUUGUUAAGUCAGUUGUGAAAGUUUGCGGCUCAACCGUAAAAUUGCAGUUGAUACUGGCGACCUUGAGUGCAACAGAGGUAGGCGGAAUUCGUGGUGUAGCGGUGAAAUGCUUAGAUAUCACGAAGAACUCCGAUUGCGAAGGCAGCUUACUGGAUUGUAACUGACGCUGAUGCUCGAAAGUGUGGGUAUCAAACAGGAUUAGAUACCCUGGUAGUCCACACAGUAAACGAUGAAUACUCGCUGUUGGCGAUAUACGGUCAGCGGCCAAGCGAAAGCAUUAAGUAUUCCACCUGGGGAGUACGCCGGCAACGGUGAAACUCAAAGGAAUUGACGGGGGCCCGCACAAGCGGAGGAACAUGUGGUUUAAUU